RNAcentral lists this ribosomal RNA (444 nucleotides) under uncultured bacterium. Its description in RNAcentral is "bacterial SSU rRNA". It matches the Rfam family "Bacterial small subunit ribosomal RNA", at positions 330 to 792 of the family's 1533-position model. The record is from RNAcentral.
CCCAGACUCCUACGGGAGGCAGCAGUGGGGAAUAUUGCACAAUGGGGGAAACCCUGAUGCAGCGACGCCGCGUGAGCGAUGAAGUAUUUCGGUAUGUAAAGCUCUAUCAGCAGGGAAGAAAAUGACGGUACCUGACUAAGAAGCCCCGGCUAACUACGUGCCAGCAGCCGCGGUAAUACGGAGGAUGCGAGCGUUAUCCGGAUUUAUUGGGUUUAAAGGGUGCGUAGGCGGAAGGUUAAGUCAGCGGUCAAAUGUCGGUGCUCAACCCCGGCCUGCCGUUGAAACUGGUCUUCUUGAGUGAGCGAGGAGUAUGCGGAAUGCGUGGUGUAGCGGUGAAAUGCAUAGAUAUCACGCAGAACUCCGAUUGCGAAGGCAGCAUACCGGCGCUCAACUGACGCUGAGGCACGAAAGCGUGGGGAUCGAACAGGAUUAGAUACCCUUGUA